Long non-coding RNA from Dreissena polymorpha, 1059 nucleotides. RefSeq lists it as uncharacterized. The record is from RefSeq and is a predicted model, not a curated record. The transcript has 4 exons. NCBI's taxonomy places the organism in Eukaryota, Metazoa, Mollusca, Bivalvia, Myida, Dreissenidae.
UGGUUUAUAUCACACAUCGAGGUACUUCAUAGAAGUACACAGCCACACUUCGAGGUACCAAAAAAUAGCGAGGUACUUUUCCCUAGACCUCGGUACGUGUACCUCGCCAACCGCUUGUAAAAACCAUUGUACACAAUUUCCGCUCGUUUCUACGGGUACCUCGGUAUAACGUUGUAGUACUGGUUUGUGUGUCAGAGUGUGACCCCACACACUUGACAUCCAUCUCAGAAGCUUUUUUGGUUCCCGUUUCGAAAACGAGCGCGCGCAGAUAAAUCUGGAAACCAGUUACUGACCUAUUUACCGAGUAGAUUGGUUACCUCCCCUUAUCUAUCGUUACUCCCUAUAUAGAGAGGACCUCGGUGAAUCGGUCAGCAACUGGUUUAGGUGAGUUACGAGCACACAGUUAUUUUCAACAGUAUUUUUUCUUAACAUAAAAGAAAUAAAUAAUGACAUCGUGUUUUUAUAUAAUAAUAAAUAACAGUUAAUUACUCGUCAUUUAGUAGAUUUUCUCCUUACUUUAAUCGAUCAUUAUUUACUGCAAUUCUUACAAGAAAUAAACAGGACAGUCGUUUCGCGCUAGUUUUUAUACGUUCAGUUGUUUACAUUUUUUCUUACAAAAAAGAAUGUUUCUUUCAGUGUUUCUAGUGUGUUAAAUUUAAUAAUACUCUAACACUUUGUUCUACAGUGAUGUAUGUUCCAGCUGGUAACAGUGAAUUUAUGAAGAAAACUUUGGUCGCCCAGGAAGAAAGUGGUUUUAAAGAUGUUGACGGGCAUUAUUCUAGAAAAGAGCCAUCAUUCCAGUAUGCUGAAAACAUCCCCUCAAGCUCUCCUGGUCCUAAAAAUGAGCACCAAAGGCCAAAGUGUCAGAGAUAAUGAUUGAACUGAUUCUAAAAAUGAGCCAUCCAGUAUUGGUGAAAUCGUCUCCUUCAAGCAUUCCUGGUUUCAAAAUCAGCAUCAAGGCCAAAGAGUCAGAGAUAAUGAUGAUGAUGAUGAUGACGAAGAAGCUGGCUUUGAACCAUCGAGUUCUGACGGUGCGGAAAUGGACUUGGCUACAGGCAC